RNAcentral lists this microRNA precursor (95 nucleotides) under Loxodonta africana (African savanna elephant). RNAcentral's name for it is "mir-544 microRNA precursor family". It matches the Rfam family "mir-544 microRNA precursor family". Lineage: Eukaryota; Metazoa; Chordata; Mammalia; Proboscidea; Elephantidae. The record is from Rfam by way of RNAcentral.
AACACCUGGAAAUCCUGUUAAAAUGCAGAUUCUGAUUCCGAGUUCUGGGAUGGUUUGGGAUUCCGCAUUUCUAACAAGUUCCCAGGUGAUGCUAC